UCCGUAGGUGAACCUGCGGAAGGAUCAUUACCACACCGAUCUAAAUCAUCCAACCCAGCGAACUGUGUGUCCAAUCAUUUUGGUCUUUCGAGACCCACCCGCCUCGCUUCGUCGUCGCGAGACGCGAAGCGAGCGGAACCCACACACUUUUCAACCCAACAACAACCAACAACAACUAACCUCGUAAUCGUUCGCGAGCUCUCUCCUUCGGGGAGGCGCGCGGCGAUCACACAAGCGAAAUGCGAACAACUUUCAGCGACGGAUGUCUUGGCUCCCACAACGAUGAAGGACGCAGCGAAAUGCGAUACGUAAUGCGAAUUGCAGAAUCCAGCGAAUCAUCAAAACUCUGAACGCGACUUGCACUCCCGGGAUAUGCCUGGGAGUACGCUCGUCGGAGUGUUUGUUACCACCCCUCACCGCAUCACCGCGGUGGAGUCUGAGUUUCGCGCUCGAAUUUUGUCGAGCGCGUCGCUCGAAGUGCAGACGGAACCGUGUCGCUCUGACCUCGUUCAGGCGUUCGGGUGCGGUAAAAGCUUAAUGUUUUCUCCACACACACUCGAGCGUUUGGACGAACGGGGCGGCAUCCCGCUUCGUUCUCGCAAACCGGGAACAACUUCGUAUUAAACCUCCGAUCGAGUGAGAGGACCCGCUGAAUUUAAGCAUAUCAAUAAGCGGAGGAA
RNAcentral lists this ribosomal RNA (680 nucleotides) under uncultured eukaryote. RNAcentral describes it as "eukaryotic LSU rRNA". The stretch from base 248 to 402 matches the Rfam family "5.8S ribosomal RNA". The record is from RNAcentral.